RNAcentral lists this ribosomal RNA (230 nucleotides) under uncultured bacterium. RNAcentral describes it as "partial 16S ribosomal RNA". It matches the Rfam family "Bacterial small subunit ribosomal RNA", at positions 118 to 350 of the family's 1533-position model. The record is from RNAcentral.
UGAGCAACCUGCCCUUAGCUCUGGGAUAACCCCGGGAAACCGGGGCUAAUACCGGAUAUGAGUCCGAGCGGCAUCACGCGGACUGGAAAGUUUUUCGGCUAAGGAUGGGCUCGCGGCCUAUCAGCUUGUUGGUGGGGUAAUGGCUCACCAAGGCGACGACGGGUAGCCGGCCUGAGAGGGCGACCGGCCACACUGGGACUGAGAUACGGCCCAGACUCCUACGGGAGGCA